CUUCAGCUGACCAAUCGCUAAUAGGACGAAACUCAAGUCCUGGAU
Non-coding RNA from Schistosoma curassoni, 45 nucleotides. Lineage: Eukaryota; Metazoa; Platyhelminthes; Trematoda; Strigeidida; Schistosomatidae. The record is from Rfam.